UACGGAGGGCGCGAGCGUUAAUCGGAAUUACUGGGCGUAAAGCGCGCGUAGGCUGUUGUGUAAGUUGGGGGUGAAAUCCCACGGCUCAACCGUGGAACAGCCCUUGAUACUGCGCGACUUGAAUCCGGGAGAGGGUGGCGGAAUUCCAGGUGUAGGAGUGAAAUCCGUAGAUAUCAUGAAGAACUCCGAUCGCGAAGGCAAGUGUCCGGGGUGCAACUGACGCUGAGGCUCGAAAGUGCGGGUAUCAAACAGG
Molecule: ribosomal RNA, 253 nt
Filed under: uncultured bacterium
Lineage: Bacteria
Description: partial 16S ribosomal RNA
Rfam family: Bacterial small subunit ribosomal RNA
Source: RNAcentral